GGCCCGUUAGUUCAGAUGGUUAGAGCCUGGUGCUAAUAAUGCCAAGGUCAUGGGUUCAAUUCCCCUAACUGGCCA
This 75-nucleotide transfer RNA is filed under the name Perca flavescens (yellow perch). Its description in RNAcentral is "tRNA-Ile". It matches the Rfam family "tRNA". From Rfam's summary of the family: Transfer RNA (tRNA) molecules are approximately 80 nucleotides in length. Lineage: Eukaryota; Metazoa; Chordata; Actinopteri; Perciformes; Percidae. The record is from RNAcentral.